AUGGAAGGUGUGGAGCACUGAGGAGGCUAUCCUGGUAGUGCUUGUGAGGGCUGAUGAACUGGGUGGUGGAGGAGGAGGAAGAAUAGAGGAUGAAUUCAGAGUUGUUAAGGAGGUCAAAGUGGCGAGCAUUCUCAUUCAUUAGAUGCAGAAUUGAGAGUGAGAAGGUAUCGAGGUCAACUGGAUUUCUGGCUUGUAUAAUUGGAUGCUGGCUGGAACCAUUGAUGGGGCAAACUGAAAGAUUCUGGCUUUUUUAAAAGCCAAACUCCAUGUCCCUCUCUCCCCUUGGCCAGAAAGAAAGUAGAUGUUUUCUGAAACAGAAAGAGGUUUGCUUUGCUUCAAAGACGUUGAACAGGGUGCCUUGUUUGUGUCGCUGAGAGCCCUGCACAUCCUUCUAUGUGAGCCGACUUGUCCAAGGCCGUGCAGCAGGCCACACUCCUGACACACUGGCCCAGGCACCCUUUUUUGGUGGCUGGUCCCCAAGCACCAGAGUCCCACCUGAGCCCUUGGCAGCCCAGAAACCUCGUGGCUCUCAAGAUGAUGCUGCUGGGACCCUCAAGCCUUCUCCGCCCACCGAGACAAUGGGCUCCAGAACCCAGCGAACAGCGCCCUGCCUGUGCGCCUUCCUCCUUCUGCUCUAAAUUGAUAUCUCCCCUGUGUGGCUGCAGAACCAUAUGUAUGAUUAAAGCUUGCAUGAUAGUCUUUG
Long non-coding RNA from Myotis brandtii (Brandt's bat), 703 nucleotides. RefSeq lists it as uncharacterized. NCBI's taxonomy places the organism in Eukaryota, Metazoa, Chordata, Mammalia, Chiroptera, Vespertilionidae. The record is from RefSeq and is a predicted model, not a curated record. The transcript has 2 exons.